Molecule: long non-coding RNA, 2083 nt
Organism: Myripristis murdjan (pinecone soldierfish)
Lineage: Eukaryota; Metazoa; Chordata; Actinopteri; Holocentriformes; Holocentridae
Exons: 2
Source: RefSeq, a predicted model, not a curated record
CUGCGGCGACAGCGCAGGACCCGCACUGACGACACGGGCUUAUGGCAGGUCAGAAUUAGCCAAAACACAUUUUUAGUUGAACAAGACUCAUUUCCAGCUAUUAGCACAUCCUAAUGCAGAAACUGCAGUGUAAAUGACACUUCAGUGACAGAGAGUGCAGAGCUGCCACAUCCCGGCGGUGAUGUUUGUAGAGUCAAAUUUCAAACGGCUGCGACGCGACAUCAUCAUCCUGUCUGCUCACAAGUCCCAUCAUUUCUUACUGCAGGAUCCAGUGUGUGGAGAUCAGCCUCAUGGUGGCGCCCAAGGGCGGGAAGCUGGAAGUUGUCCUCACUAUCGAGUAGAGCAGAGUCUGUCAACCUUUACCUGUUCAAGCCCAGUAUUUCUCUUAGAAAUAAAUCAAGGCAAGAAAGUACAGAAGCUGAAUUUUUCCUAAUGAAAAAGAGCCAGUGUCAACAUAUACAUAGCUAAGUAAAUGAGUUUAUUCUUAAAGGUUAGUAAAACAAAAUUAAAAACUCCUCAGUUUAACAGUGUAAGUACAGUAUAAGAUACUUCUGUAUGAAAGGGGAAAAGAAACAAGUGCAUUUACCAUAACAUAGCUUUUACUCCAAGAUGCGUUGAUGUUAAUGGGAUAGUUCACCCAUUUUGAAUAAUGUGAUAUUAGGGCCCCCUAGUUGUUCUGUAGGACAGUAGUGGGUCUAUCUUCCUCUCAUUGUUACUGAGAGCUGGAUACUCGCUGGAUGCUCUAAAUGCUAACUGUUAGCCUCCUGCCAUUGAGGUGAAACGUCCCCCUGACUAAUAUUCUUUAAAAAAUAACCGCCUUGAUACAGUGAUAGAAACAUUAUUAUUGUACUUGCAUCUACUUGUAUAUCUUGAAAUAAAUAUUUUUUAAAGUUGUAUAUUAAUGGGGGAAAAAAGCUUUUGUUCUGGACCACCAGUGUUUUCAUGGUGUUGGGUUGAAGAGCCACUAGGGGGUGCUCAAGGCCUACUAGUGUGCCGUGGCCCAGUUGAGAAGCCUCAGUCUGGAUGAGUGGCAGUGAAAUGCAGCCCUAAAGGUGUGGAGCAGGAUGUGUUUUGCCAGACAGUUGAUUGCAUCCACCUGCCAUUUCAGGUCUGAUGCAGGGAACAGUUCACUGUCAGGACUUUUGUUUGAAAGAGGUGGAACCAGAAGGUGAAAUUACAUUUGUGGGUUAGGGAUUAGCACUUUUGCCAAUAGCAUUUACAGCUAGUAGUGUUUUGUGUCAGCAUGCAACUCACAUUACAGCAAAGACAGUUCUGUCUUUUCUUCUUGUUCAGUGAUGUAGAGCAGCUGCAGCCAGAAAGAAGAGGCUGUGGCUGCUUCCCACAUCGAAAUAAUCAAAGCCUCAUCCAUUUUGAAUUCAGUGAAUACAAAAGGUCAAUCCUGCAUAAUCUCUCACUGGUUGGGGGUCAGUGGGUCAGGUGAAAUUAAUUUGGCAUCGGAAGUAAUUAUUUAUUUUCAUGUCGGGUGGGCUUUUGAAUGGGUGUGAAUGGAACAGGACUGUUUCUUUAGCACUGGUGUGUCUGCCCCAUAAAUCAGUCCCUGCCGGUCCCUAUCGCAGUGGCUGCCAGGAAAUAAGUUUGAUUUAAUCUAAUCAUCUUCCUUUAUUGCAAAGGGGUUAAUUACUGCAGCAGCCAUGUCAUAGAAAUUAAUCACCUGAGCAGACGAUUUGGGAAUAUUAGUGUAUUCCAGACAGGGAAAGUCAUGUAAUGUGAUCAAAUUCUCUGGGUUACUCAGGACAUUCUGCUUUACAGGAAUGUAGCAGAUGAAUGUAUGCAGCAACUUGAGAGGAAAUUAGACUUAACAAGCAUUAAUAAACCAGUGAGCUGCAACAUUUUUACAGGUGCUUUGAUUUAGAUUUAGAAAUGUUAGGAAAACUAACAAGGUCAAAAUUACCCACAUGGCCAAAAUAUCUGUCUGGUACCGUUUGAGUUUUGAGCUCUAAGGGUAUUGAAACGAGUGAGGUGAUUUCAAGAAAAGUCUGUUUUAGCAGAAUGUCAUUCUCCUUUAAAAAUGUCUGGUAGUGCUCACUGCAAACAUGAACUCAAUAAAGUCAAGUUUCAACAA